GGUGGUGAUCACAUUCUUUCCAGAGAGCAGCUUAUUAGUGUGCAGGGUGAGGAUGUUGAAUUGCAGAAGUUGGCUAGUAAGGCUGUUUCUUUUGAGGAGGUUAGCAAGCUUCCAGUUUGUUAUUACUUCAAGGAUGGUGUUCUGAUGAGGAAAUA
This is a long non-coding RNA of Haliotis rubra (blacklip abalone), 155 nucleotides long. RefSeq lists it as uncharacterized. Lineage: Eukaryota; Metazoa; Mollusca; Gastropoda; Lepetellida; Haliotidae. The transcript is spliced from 3 exons. The record is from RefSeq and is a predicted model, not a curated record.